RNAcentral lists this ribosomal RNA (1139 nucleotides) under Micrococcus sp. Its description in RNAcentral is "bacterial SSU rRNA". It matches the Rfam family "Bacterial small subunit ribosomal RNA", at positions 251 to 1399 of the family's 1533-position model. The record is from RNAcentral. Lineage: Bacteria; Bacillati; Actinomycetota; Actinomycetes; Micrococcales; Micrococcaceae.
GGUGAGGUAAUGGCUCACCAAGGCGACGACGGGUAGCCGGCCUGAGAGGGUGACCGGACACACUGGGACUGAGACACGGCCCAGACUCCUACGGGAGGCAGCAGUGGGGAAUAUUGCACAAUGGGCGCAAGCCUGAUGCAGCGACGCCGCGUGAGGGAUGACGGCCUUCGGGUUGUAAACCUCUUUCAGUAGGGAAGAAGCGAAAGUGACGGUACCUGCAGAAGAAGCACCGGCUAACUACGUGCCAGCAGCCGCGGUAAUACGUAGGGUGCGAGCGUUAUCCGGAAUUAUUGGGCGUAAGAGCUCGUAGGCGGUUUGUCGCGUCUGUCGUGAAAGUCCGGGGCUUAACCCCGGAUCUGCGGUGGGUACGGGCAGACUAGAGUGCAGUAGGGGAGACUGGAAUUCCUGGUGUAGCGGUGGAAUGCGCAGAUAUCAGGAGGAACACCGAUGGCGAAGGCAGGUCUCUGGGCUGUAACUGACGCUGAGGAGCGAAAGCAUGGGGAGCGAACAGGAUUAGAUACCCUGGUAGUCCAUGCCGUAAACGUUGGGCACUAGGUGUGGGGACCAUUCCACGGUUUCCGCGCCGCAGCUAACGCAUUAAGUGCCCCGCCUGGGGAGUACGGCCGCAAGGCUAAAACUCAAAGGAAUUGACGGGGGCCCGCACAAGCGGCGGAGCAUGCGGAUUAAUUCGAUGCAACGCGAAGAACCUUACCAAGGCUUGACAUGUUCUCGAUCGCCGUAGAGAUACGGUUUCCCCUUUGGGGCGGGUUCACAGGUGGUGCAUGGUUGUCGUCAGCUCGUGUCGUGAGAUGUUGGGUUAAGUCCCGCAACGAGCGCAACCCUCGUUCCAUGUUGCCAGCACGUCGUGGUGGGGACUCAUGGGAGACUGCCGGGGUCAACUCGGAGGAAGGUGAGGACGACGUCAAAUCAUCAUGCCCCUUAUGUCUUGGGCUUCACGCAUGCUACAAUGGCCGGUACAAUGGGUUGCGAUACUGUGAGGUGGAGCUAAUCCCAAAAAGCCGGUCUCAGUUCGGAUUGGGGUCUGCAACUCGACCCCAUGAAGUCGGAGUCGCUAGUAAUCGCAGAUCAGCAACGCUGCGGUGAAUACGUUCCCGGGCCUUGUACCCACCCGCCCGUAA